Molecule: antisense RNA, 75 nt
Filed under: Streptomyces sp. 3211.6
Lineage: Bacteria; Bacillati; Actinomycetota; Actinomycetes; Kitasatosporales; Streptomycetaceae
Also listed under: 1 other name
Description: ASpks TB sRNA
Rfam family: ASpks TB sRNA
Source: RNAcentral
CUUCACCGAGCCCAGCCACAGCGGCCGGUCUGCGUCGCGUCCCCGGCCGUAGGCGGCCAGCAGGGCCUGCGCCUC